RNAcentral lists this ribosomal RNA (505 nucleotides) under uncultured bacterium. Its description in RNAcentral is "partial 16S ribosomal RNA". It matches the Rfam family "Bacterial small subunit ribosomal RNA", at positions 28 to 507 of the family's 1533-position model. The record is from RNAcentral.
GACGAACGCUGGCGGCGUGCCUAAUACAUGCAAGUAGAACGCACAGUUUAUACCGUAGCUUGCUACACCAUAGACUGUGAGUUGCGAACGGGUGAGUAACGCGUAGGUAACCUGCCUGGUAGCGGGGGAUAACUAUUGGAAACGAUAGCUAAUACCGCAUAAUAUUAAUUAUUGCAUGAUAAUUAAUUGAAAGGUGCAAUUGCACCACUACCAGAUGGACCUGCGUUGUAUUAGCUAGUAGGUGAGGUAACGGCUCACCUAGGCGACGAUACAUAGCCGACCUGGGAGGGUGGUCGGCCACACUGGGACUGGGACACGGCCCAGACUCCUACGGGAGGCAGCAGUAGGGAAUCUUCGGCAAUGGACGAAAGUCUGACCGAGCAACGCCGCGGGGGGGAAGAAGGUUUUCGGAUCGUAAAGGUCUGUUGUAAGAGGAGAAAGGGUGUGAGAGUGGAAAGUUCACACUGUGACGGUAUCUUACCAGAAAGGGACGGCUAACUACGUG